UUAAAUUGAAGAGUUUGAUCAUGGCUCAGAUUGAACGCUGGCGGCAGGCCUAACACAUGCAAGUCGAACGGUAACAGGAAGCAGCUUGCUGCUUUGCUGACGAGUGGCGGACGGGUGAGUAAUGUCUGGGAAACUGCCUGAUGGAGGGGGAUAACUACUGGAAACGGUAGCUAAUACCGCAUAAUGUCGCAAGACCAAAGAGGGGGACCUUCGGGCCUCUUGCCAUCGGAUGUGCCCAGAUGGGAUUAGCUUGUUGGUGGGGUAACGGCUCACCAAGGCGACGAUCCCUAGCUGGUCUGAGAGGAUGACCAGCCACACUGGAACUGAGACACGGUCCAGACUCCUACGGGAGGCAGCAGUGGGGAAUAUUGCACAAUGGGCGCAAGCCUGAUGCAGCCAUGCCGCGUGUAUGAAGAAGGCCUUCGGGUUGUAAAGUACUUUCAGCGGGGAGGAAGGGAGUAAAGUUAAUACCUUUACUCAUUGACGUUACCCGCAGAAGAAGCACCGGCUAACUCCGUGCCAGCAGCCGCGGUAAUACGGAGGGUGCAAGCGUUAAUCGGAAUUACUGGGCGUAAAGCGCACGCAGGCGGUUUGUUAAGUCAGAUGUGAAAUCCCCGGGCUCAACCUGGGAACUGCAUCUGAUACUGGCAAGCUUGAGUCUCGUAGAGGGGGGUAGAAUUCCAGGUGUAGCGGUGAAAUGCGUAGAGAUCUGGAGGAAUACCGGUGGCGAAGGCGGCCCCCUGGACGAAGACUGACGCUCAGGUGCGAAAGCGUGGGGAGCAAACAGGAUUAGAUACCCUGGUAGUCCACGCCGUAAACGAUGUCGACUUGGAGGUUGUGCCCUUGAGGCGUGGCUUCCGGAGCUAACGCGUUAAGUCGACCGCCUGGGGAGUACGGCCGCAAGGUUAAAACUCAAAUGAAUUGACGGGGGCCCGCACAAGCGGUGGAGCAUGUGGUUUAAUUCGAUGCAACGCGAAGAACCUUACCUGGUCUUGACAUCCACGGAAGUUUUCAGAGAUGAGAAUGUGCCUUCGGGAACCGUGAGACAGGUGCUGCAUGGCUGUCGUCAGCUCGUGUUGUGAAAUGUUGGGUUAAGUCCCGCAACGAGCGCAACCCUUAUCCUUUGUUGCCAGCGGUCCGGCCGGGAACUCAAAGGAGACUGCCAGUGAUAAACUGGAGGAAGGUGGGGAUGACGUCAAGUCAUCAUGGCCCUUACGACCAGGGCUACACACGUGCUACAAUGGCGCAUACAAAGAGAAGCGACCUCGCGAGAGCAAGCGGACCUCAUAAAGUGCGUCGUAGUCCGGAUUGGAGUCUGCAACUCGACUCCAUGAAGUCGGAAUCGCUAGUAAUCGUGGAUCAGAAUGCCACGGUGAAUACGUUCCCGGGCCUUGUACACACCGCCCGUCACACCAUGGGAGUGGGUUGCAAAAGAAGUAGGUAGCUUAACCUUCGGGAGGGCGCUUACCACUUUGUGAUUCAUGACUGGGGUGAAGUCGUAACAAGGUAACCGUAGGGGAACCUGCGGUUGGAUCACCUCCUUACCUUAAAGAAGC
Molecule: ribosomal RNA, 1556 nt
Filed under: Escherichia coli
Lineage: Bacteria; Pseudomonadati; Pseudomonadota; Gammaproteobacteria; Enterobacterales; Enterobacteriaceae
Description: bacterial SSU rRNA
Rfam family: Bacterial small subunit ribosomal RNA
Source: RNAcentral